GGCCUGAUGGUCUAGGAGUAUGAUUCGUUGUUAGGGCUUUGAGCGCUUAUCUUUGAGUCUUUCGACGAGGUCCCGGGUUCAAUUCCCGGUCAGGCCC
RNAcentral lists this transfer RNA (97 nucleotides) under Rhodocollybia butyracea. RNAcentral describes it as "tRNA-Pro". It matches the Rfam family "tRNA". Rfam says of the family: Transfer RNA (tRNA) molecules are approximately 80 nucleotides in length. Their secondary structure includes four short double-helical elements and three loops (D, anti-codon, and T loops). The record is from RNAcentral. Lineage: Eukaryota; Fungi; Basidiomycota; Agaricomycetes; Agaricales; Omphalotaceae.